GUGGAAAAUGAAGGGGACGUGACCAAUUCUAGAAGAUCACAGAAUGCUUACAAAUGAAAAACAAUGGGGUCUUAUGACUUCUUUUGGCCAACAAAAUGCAACACAAGUAACAAUGUCCCAGCUCUAAGUUAGCCUCAAGAGGCUUGGCUUGCUUCUGCUCUCUCUCAGACCUCUUCCACCACCAGGAGAGAAAGCCUACACUUCCAGCUACAGAAGAGCUGAGCUUCCCUCCAGCUAAUAACCAGCCAACUGUAAGGGCAAAACCAUCUAACUAAUCGAGUUGACCACACCACAGACUCAUGACGGAGCCUAACUGAGAACAGAACUGCCCAGCUAAACUCCCCUAAAUUGCCAGCCUGCAGAAUUGUGAGCUAAAUAAAUGACUGAUGUUUUAAAUUACUAAGUUUGGAAUGGUUCAUGAUACAUCAAAAGUUAUGAAAUACAUCCACAGAGGUGACAAUUAACGUGAAGAAAAGAAAAACCCUGAUCCUUUAUCACCAUAAAAAAACAGAAAAAGUUCCCAUCUCCAUACUUGUAGCUUCAGGUUUUUCUAACAA
Long non-coding RNA from Nomascus leucogenys (northern white-cheeked gibbon), 557 nucleotides. RefSeq lists it as uncharacterized. Lineage: Eukaryota; Metazoa; Chordata; Mammalia; Primates; Hylobatidae. The record is from RefSeq and is a predicted model, not a curated record. The transcript has 2 exons.